GAUUCUGGAAAUUCAGAACCUUCCUGGAAAUUACAAAGUCGUUCCACCACUGCCCAUUCAGCUGUUCACACACAAGACAGCACUAUGUGGCAAAAACUAAAAAUACACUAAAGGGCAUCAAUAAGGGACUGUGUGGAAUAUCAUAUAGCAGUUAAAAGGUGUGAGUCAGAAACAUCAGUAAAAUACAUGGAUCUGAAAUUUCUGAAUGCAGAUUAAGAUAUCUAUGUAAAAGGUAGAGCUGGAUAAGAGAAAUAACUUCUAAUGGUCUAUAGCACAGUAGCGAUCUGUGGUUGAUGACAAUUAACUUUAUGUUUUCAAAUAGCUGAGAGAGGAUUUUCAAUGUUCCCAACACAAAGAAAUGAUGUUUUAGGUGAUGGAUACACCAAUUGCCCUGAUGUAUCAUUACACAUUGUACUGUGUAUUGAAAUACCACACUGUAACCCAUAAAUAUAUACAGUUAAGUGUUGAUUUAAAAAAAAUUAAAGCCAUGUCUAUGAAACUAGAUGGAUUUUGUUUAUAGCUGUCAAAUACAUGUAUGUAACUUCCUCAUUAGACAAUAUAUCAAGAAUUUUAUGUGGUCUUGGAUCAAUAAAUCUGUAC
This 600-nucleotide long non-coding RNA is filed under the name Marmota monax (woodchuck). The record is from RNAcentral. Lineage: Eukaryota; Metazoa; Chordata; Mammalia; Rodentia; Sciuridae.